UCGAUUAGUGUAUAUUUUGUCAACAAGAGGACAAUGUUUAUCAUAUAACUUAGAAAUAGAGGAAAUGAAACCAUCAUAGGAUACAUCAACAUCAUCAACAUAAACUUCAUUCCAAUUCUGACGUAGUAAAUCUUCCCUUAAAUUGUCAAUGGCUAUUGGUGUUACUUUUCUACUCAACCUAUUAAAAUCCUUUCGAAACACUCGACCAUGUAAUGCAAAAACAGUGAAUACUGGCAGGUGAUCAGUAAUAUCACUUACCAGUAGUCCCGCACUGAGCUUACCGGAUAUAACAUUUGUUAGAAUAUUAUCAAUAAGGGUUGUUGAGUUCGAAGUUAUUCUGCUUGGAUGAAUAAUAGUCGGGAAUAACCCCAUACAAUAUAUGGAAUUUAUAAAUGAAGUAGUUUGUGGAUGAUUGUGAGGAUUUAGAAAAUCAAUAUUAAAAUCACCACAAAUAAAUAAAUGUGCAUUCUUAUUAAUUUUGUUGUACAUUCCCAUAAUUAUUUGUUCAAAGGUAUCAAUAUUUGCUCCAGGAGCUCUGUAUAUGCAACUAACAACCGUAUUAUUUGAAUUUAUAGAUGCAAUUUUGACCGUAACACAUUCCAUAAUAUUAUCAACUUCCACAAAACACAUGUUUUUUAAUUAAUUU
Thalassophryne amazonica is the source of this 646-nucleotide long non-coding RNA. RefSeq lists it as uncharacterized. NCBI's taxonomy places the organism in Eukaryota, Metazoa, Chordata, Actinopteri, Batrachoidiformes, Batrachoididae. The transcript has 3 exons. The record is from RefSeq and is a predicted model, not a curated record.